Molecule: long non-coding RNA, 153 nt
Organism: Mizuhopecten yessoensis (Yesso scallop)
Lineage: Eukaryota; Metazoa; Mollusca; Bivalvia; Pectinida; Pectinidae
Exons: 3
Source: RefSeq, a predicted model, not a curated record
GAUACCGUGAAGUUCGAGAAGAGUGUUACAGAGUACGAUUGCACAAGGGCUUACGUGCCCACUCCGGAAGUACAGAAUGAAUUGAAAAGAAUCUCCGGCAAACUCGAUGAUUGCUUGUAUGAUGACUACAGACGGGAGAUCGACACUCUCAAG